GAUCGGCCCGCGUCUGAUUAGCUAGUUGGUGAGGUAACGGCUCACCAAGGCGACGAUCAGUAGCUGGUCUGAGAGGAUGAUCAGCCACACUGGGACUGAGACACGGCCCACACUCCUACGGGAGGCAGCAGUGGGGAAUAUUGGACAAUGGGCGAAAGCCUGAUCCAGCCAUGCCGCGUGAGUGAUGAAGGCCUUAGGGUUGUAAAGCUCUUUUACCCGGGAAGAUAAUGACGGUACCGGGAGAAUAAGCCCCGGCUAACUUCGUGCCGGCAGCCGCGGUAAUACGAAGGGGGCUAGCGUUGUUCGGAUUUACUGGGCGUAAAGCGCACGUAGGCGGAUCUUUAAGUCAGGGGUGAAAUCCCAGAGCUCAACUCUGGAACUGCCUUUGAUACUGGGGAUCUCGAGUUCGGGUGAGGUGAGUGGAACUGCGAGUGUAGAGGUGAAAUUCGUAGAUAUUCGCAAGAACACCAGUGGCGAAGGCGGCUCACUGGCCCGAUACUGACGCUGAAGUGCGAAAGCGUGGGGAGCAAACCGGAUUAGAUACCCUGGUAGUCCACGCCGUAAACGAUGGAUGCUAGCCGUUGGACAGCUUGCUGUUCAGGGGCGACACCUUAAGCCUUUAAGCAUCCCCGCCUGGGGA
This 640-nucleotide ribosomal RNA is filed under the name uncultured Alphaproteobacteria bacterium. RNAcentral describes it as "bacterial SSU rRNA". It matches the Rfam family "Bacterial small subunit ribosomal RNA", at positions 224 to 879 of the family's 1533-position model. Lineage: Bacteria; Pseudomonadati; Pseudomonadota; Alphaproteobacteria. The record is from RNAcentral.